GCAGCCCUUGCCCGGCCGCGGCCUCUCCUCCCGCCGCGGGUCCGGCAGGCUCGUUAUGGCGCUGCCGGUGCUGUCGAGCUCGGCCGUGAAGUUCCGGCGGGUCCUGGCACACUUCCCGCAGGAGCUCAGCCUGGCCUUCGCCUACGGCUCGGGGGUGUUCCGGCAGGCGGGGGCCGCGGCCGAGCACGGCGAGAACAAUAUGCUGGAUUUCGUAUUUGCUGUUGAUGAUUCUGUGACCUGGCAUAUGAUGAACUUGUUAAAGAACAGGAAUCAUUAUUCCUUCCUAAAAUUUUUUGGGCCAAAACAGAUAACUAGUAUGCAGAGCUACGGAGCAGGAAUUUACUACAACACUUUAGUGCCAUGUAAUGGUAGGAUGAUAAAAUAUGGUGUAAUUAGCACUGAUACCCUGAUUGAUGAUUUAUUUCACUGGAAAACCCUCUAUGUCGCUGGGCGCCUACAAAAGCCGGUGAAAAUACUGACACAGAAUGAGAAUAGCAAGCUGCAAGCUGCUCUUGUUAGCAACCUGAAGAGUGCAGUCACAGCAGCCUUUCUCAUGUUACCAGAAAGUUUCUCUGAAGAAGACCUCUAUAUGCAGAUUGCAGGACUCUCCUACUCUGGUGAUUUCAGAAUGAUAAUAGGAGAAGACAGGUCGAAAGUGCAGAACAUAGUGAAACCCAACAUACCCCAUUUUCAGAAGCUGUACAGUACCAUAUUACAGGACUGCCCUCAAGUGGUGUAUAAGCACCAUCUGGGAAGACUAGAGAUUGAUAAAAGUCCAGAAGGUCAAUUUGCACAACUAAUGGCUUUGCCAAAGAAUCUGCAGCAAAAGAUAACUUCUCUGGUAAACCCUCCUGGAAAAAACAGAGAUGUGGAAGAAAUUUUACUGCAAGUUGCCCAUGACCCUGACUGUGGAUUUGUGGUGCAUCAAGGCAUUUCAGGAAUUGUGAGAUCUUCCAGUAUAGUGCAGAGUGCUAAAACCAUACUGACAGCUGGGGCAAAGAAAUCUGUAACUUACAGUAUGAAGAAAUUAUAUAAAAUGACAAAGGGAUGGUUAAAGAAGACAUCUUGAGUCUUGACGUAGUAUGUAUGGGUGUGCUCGGUGGGAAGCUCUUAAGAACAGAAAACACUGAUCCCAGUGCUAGAAACACACCCUGACAGAUAAAAAGCUUUUGGACAAAUGAACAGCCUGAGAAAAGAUUCAGGAUGGAGCCAUGGCCUUCUGAAUGAAAUAGUUACCAGCUUUGUUCUUUUUCUUUGAAGGCUGUGUGAGAAGGGGUCUAAGAGAGCCUUCACUCCUUCCAGAGAGGAGGACGCCAACCACUGGUGAGGAUUUGUCCUCAACAAAUUCAGAGAGAUCAUUCCUAGUGAACCUGUAUUUUUCUGUGUGAAUUCUGUUCCUCUAGUCAACUUUUGGAAAAUAAACACUGUAAGCAGAAAAACGGAGUUGGUUUUGUGUUUUUAAGAAGUGCCAGUUGCUGCACACUGGACUGUUAGAAAUCUAUUCCAUAUACUGAAUACAUUACCAGAUAAUUAAGGCUAACAACUAAAAUGUUAUUGCAGAUUUUGCCUCAUUUAUUUCCUCUUUGUGUCCAUAAAUGAAAAUGUAACUAUUGCAUUUCUGAUCCCCAUAAUUCCCUCAAGGCUGCAGGCUUUACUAGGCAUUGCAUAGAAAUCUACAGGCUGACAGAAAACAAAAGGACAUCUGUGGUGCACAGAUGGAGCUAAAAGUUUUCCAUAGAAUAAGCAAUAUGACCAAAUUAAGAAAAAAAGAGGCAGUGGCAAAACUAAGACACUUAGAUUUUAAUAAGCUCAUUCCUUCCUCCUGUAAUAGUGGAAUGUAGUGAAGUUUUAAACAUCAUGAGGCAUUGAACAAAACCAUCCUGACGAGCCCGUGCACUCUUUUCUUUUGUUUCCUUAACACAAAAAGGUGAGACUGGGGCUUUUUAACCUGGUUAAAUAACAGCACCACAGGAUAGGAAACCAUAAAUUGUAACUGCUUCAAGCACUGGUUGAGAGGGGUCAUGUGUCAUAAGAUUGCUCAACAUCUGGUUGAGAAUUCCUAUUAGCAGAGCAUUUAAUCACAUGCUUGACUUAAAAUGCAUAGGUUAGCACUGUUUUUGAAUAGGGAUGUAAUUCCUUUUUGACAUAAUGGCAACAUAUAGCUUGGCCUUGAAUCUACAGGAGUAAAAAAAAUUGUACAAAUCCUUGAUGUAGAGAGUUGUACAGUACAGUUGGACAUGGCUGACCCCCUCCUGGGACACAGCUGCCACAUAAGUAAAGGCUGGAUUCUAACAGCUCAUUCACUCUGGUGAUUUUUAUUUGUUACCUUGAAGUUGUGGCUGUUUUCCCUUCUGUUGAGAGAGGAUGCCUUAGAGAUAUGUGUGCACCAGAACUUUAAAUAGAGUAUCUUGUGGGGAUAUCUUGUAUCCUGAGAGGCUCAGUGUUUCUCCUUCUCUGCAGUUUCUCACUAUUGGUGAGUUUGGGGAUAAGCAGCAGUUAAAUCUGGAAUUUUUUAAUGAUGAAAUGCAGUUGUAACUCUAGGGAAGCAUUUGAAAGAGCAGCUUUCUUUAAAAACCCUUAGUAAUACAGUCAAAGAUAAUGUCCUGAAUAUUAAAGUAAGACAUUUAAGAGUGGGUUUGGUGUUUCAGAAGCUGCUUGCCCCUGAAAUGGUGCUUCAAAACAUUAGAAGGCAAAAACAAGUCUGUGAUGUGAGAAUGAGUUGGCCUCAUUCCUACAGUGAAACAGCAGUCUUCAUCCUGCACCUUGCUAGCUGAGCAAGGGCAUUUAUUCAAGAAAUAAGGUUCUCCUAGAAAAAAAAAGGUAACGUACUGCUUGCUGUCUAGCAGCUAAUUAACCAUUUUUAUGUGCAGCAGAUGCUGUGUGGCAUCAGGCCCUCCCAACCCUUACACUGUUUGUCCUACCAUGGAUUGCUCUGCCCCUCUACAGGUGUUACUUUACUGAAGUUUGCCUGUAACCUGAGCUGGUCAUGUUUGUCUUACAUUGCUGGAUACCCCCUGCAUAUCUUGAUUUUGCUUUAUGAACUUCCUUUGUGUACAGCACUAUAAUGGGUCACUUCUUGCUCUUUGAAGAGAGUUUUGCAAAUCCUAGUUUAAUAGUUCCUAGUUCACUCCAUCUGUUGAUACAUUGCCAGUAUCUAAGUCUGUGCACUAAAUCUUUGUGAGACUUAAGUCCUUCCUUGUCAUCCAUAUAGGCUGAAAUCUUCAACUGUAUUCUGUUCUGUAAAUCAUUUAUCUCUGUGCCUUUUAAGAAGUGGCCUACCUUUCCCCUUGGGGCCAUUGGUCUUGAACGUAUUUAUUUUUUUGGCAGAAUGCCAUGAAUGAAUCAUAGCCCUGAGCAGCUCAGCCUGGGCUCCUCUCGAUUGUUAAUAGGGAAUACUUGGGGCAGUUGUUACAACGCCUUGCUCUGGGAGACUUUUAAGAGAAGAGAGAUUGAUUUCAGACUUGUUAGUUGCUUUUGAAGUUCCUCAACAGUAUGUGGAAAUGAUUUCUUACGGUUGUACAGCUGUAAUGCACUAAAAUAACUCGUGAUUGUUGAAUGGGAAGUUGGUACAUGGGAAUAUGUUACUAACUCUUUGUCCUAAUGAGGUGUUUGCUCUUUCACAAAAAAUAAUCACUUCAGCUUUUCAUUCCAUUUGUAACUUUCCUGUUUAUACCUUCCUGCUCCAUUUCCAUACUGCUUUAUUGUUUCUCUUCUUGACUUAAUUCUCAAGUCUUUCAUUCUGUUCUUCAGACAUCCCUCUUUUUUGGUUUCGCUGUCCCACAUGGAUAUUGUUUCAUACUCCCUCCCUCUUUUUCUUGUGUAACAGUGCUUUCAUUAAAGGCAACCAGGCAGAUGAUUUAUUUCUGAUGUCUUAAAAGGCUUCUUUGUAAUGAAGAGCCUGGAGCCAAGCAAACCACUAAGGAUUUCCAUAGGUGAGUCAGCAGCAUGGGCCUGGCUGGCUCUGAGACCCACGGUGCCCACAGUGAAGUAUGGAACUAUCUCAUGCUUCAGAGGGAAUGAAGUAGAUGACAAUGUGAAAUCAAAAUUUGACUGGAUACAUCACCAUAGAUUCUGGUUUCCACUUCUUUGUUAACUUGUCCACUGUUGUGAGCAGCCCAUUUGGCUAGCAGUGGGAUGUUUGGCUGCUCCUAAACUUUGGAUUUGGGCAGUGCACAGAGCCGUAGGACACAGUAUGCUGACCUCCUCCAUCAGCAUUCGUGGGAUGUGUUCUUUAUCACGUGCACAUUUCCCAUUUUCCAGGUGUUUGAGCACUGAGUUUCUCCAGCUGGUUGGCUGUAGGACCCCUCAAAUACCACCUGUAUUGAGUGCACCUGACUUAGUUUUAACUGCAGAGCCUGUAUUUCUCACCUGUGCUUCAGGGAGGCUUCUCUUUAGAUUUGGUUGACCUUUAGUGUGAGGGAAUUGGACCAGCAGAUGGGGAGUAAUAGCUGCAACCUGAUCAUAAACAAGGUGCCUGUAGGUUAGCACACAGCUGAGCAAGUGGGAUCCCUUUCUGUUAGAGGGAUGCACUUUGGAGUAUUCCAGAGCUUCCUGAUGUUUGCAACAAAAAUCUUUGCCAAAUUGGGAAGAUAAAGAUGGAUCCAGAGACCAGUAUUUCUGGGUUGCUUAGGGAACUGAACUGUGAGGUCCUUGUUCUUCACACUGAGGUAGUAAUGCUACAUCCUGUUCUGACUUGGGAAAUUUCAGAAUAAACAGGGCCCUUGGUGAGUGUCCAGUGGAGGGGGAUCCAAGCAGGGUUGUGACUCAUGCCUUUUCCCAGCAAUUAAUUCAAAAAUAGAAUUGACACUGAUGCUUUGAAGGUCAGAAUGCCAGGUCAGUGUGUGUCUGAUAGUUUUUCAUGGGUAAGGUGUUGAUAGAGGACAAAGUAUUCUUCAUUUUCAAAUUCAGUUCUGCUGGCCUAUGUUCUAUGUAGAAAACGAAUUUUCUUUGUAUUAUCUACUGCAGGAAGAAGAGACAUUACCUCUGCAUAGGUAUUUUCUGGCAUAUUUUUUGUCUGAGUGAACAGCUGCUCUGUCACUUUUGAUACUGUGGUUUCACAAAAUUUUGCAGUGACCUUAUUUACCUGUUUUUCUAGAUAAAAAUUUACAUCACAGUUGCUAACUGAUCCUGAACUUAAUGACUGCCUUAGGGAGAGGCAGGAAUCACUUUACUCUUGCACAUUUUAACCUCUUACUCAGACUGGUUAAAUCAGAGUUGUUAAGAAAUGGGUUAAAUUUUAGUACAUGAACAGGAAGCUUUGGACUAUAUACAUUCUGAAAUUAUUCAUGAAAGCUGCAAAUGUUUUAGUUACACCUUCAGUAGAACUUUCAUGUCAUUUUUGCCUUCACAAUUCAGCAUUCUGCCCAAACCUUUUCAUUAGUGGUGGGUGGCUAUUUUGACGAUUAUGCACAUUUUUUUCCUGAGAAAUUGAAGAUACUGUAGCUGUAAAGGCAAUAUUCUGAACUGACUGAAACUUCAUGCAAGUGUCAUGGCUAUAGAGGAUUCCUCCUGCUUUUGAAUUUGAAUAGAAUUUGAUUCUUGGGAGCUUGCAACCACAGGGGACAGUCUUUAAAAACAAAACAAACCAAAAACUGUGUCUUUUGGUUCCUUCACUUGCUUUUGUUGUACUGUGAGACCUGCUCUGAAAGACUCGAGCCUGAUGUUUAAGAUACCUCCCCUACUGGUUAAAUAGGCCAAGUAAAUGGUAAAAUAUCUCAUUUAUUUAAUUAAUUUGUAUUACUUCUCUACAUGGAAUCUAUCUAGCUCUAUGAAAUACUUGGUAAAUUUGAAAGGUUCUGCUCCCACAGAGAGGAUUAUUUUUUUAAUCUCUGCUUCCUGCCAAAGCUUCUCCAAACCUUGGUAUCGAAGCAUGAAGGUGGUGGGGGGGGGACAUUCAAUGGAGUUUUUUUUGUUUUGUUUGUGAUUUUGGUUUGUUCUUUUAAUGUUGCCAUCCUCAAGCUGUCUUGCUCUUAGCAGUGGUGAAAUGUCUGGCUCACUCCUUGUAUGAGACAGCAGUGAGAGCCAAGAAGUUUGGCUCCUUAAAAUGUUUUGAAAAGUGGUGCAGGACAGGGGGCAGAGCUGACAUAAAGCAGCCUCCCAAUGUCUGUCUCAUGAUAUUGUCACAGUGCUUUGGCAUUACAGCCUGGGGCAAGGCUUUUGAAAACCAAAUUAUUUGCACAAUAAAUUCUAGACUAUUUCUUUUUUUCUUUUUUUUUUCCUCCCUCUGUUUUUUCUCCCCUC
Molecule: RNA transcript, 6240 nt
Organism: Lepidothrix coronata (blue-crowned manakin)
Lineage: Eukaryota; Metazoa; Chordata; Aves; Passeriformes; Pipridae
Gene: TAMM41
Gene name: TAM41 mitochondrial translocator assembly and maintenance homolog
Exons: 10
Source: RefSeq, a predicted model, not a curated record